UUAAAAACGCGGCCUUUUGGCUAAGAUCAAGUGUAGUAUCUGUUAUUAUCAGUUUAGUAUCUGAUACGUGGGCCAUCGGUGCACAUGAUAUUAAAUUUUUUUUUUUUAGGGGGACUGGCCUCAACAAUAGCUUGCUAUUGGGUCUUUCGCGCGUCGCUCAAGCGCUGCACUAAAGCUCGAACCUGGCGCACCCCAC
Molecule: small nuclear RNA, 196 nt
Organism: Hibiscus syriacus
Lineage: Eukaryota; Viridiplantae; Streptophyta; Magnoliopsida; Malvales; Malvaceae
Product: U2 spliceosomal RNA
Exons: 1
Source: RefSeq, a predicted model, not a curated record